UUAAGAAGCCGAAAGGCUACUUAAAACCAUCGCGAACUCGUCCAAGUUGCUUCGGCGGCGCGGCCUCCCCUCACGGGGGCGCCGCAGCCCCGCCUCUCCGGAGGUAAGUGGGGCAGCCCGCCGGAGGUACGAAACUCUGUAUUAUAGUGGCAUCUCUGAGUAUAAAACAAAUAAGUUA
Molecule: unclassified non-coding RNA, 178 nt
Filed under: soil metagenome
Description: partial internal transcribed spacer 1
Source: RNAcentral